AGAGUUUGAUUCUGGCUCAGGAUGAACGCUAGCUACAGGCUUAACACAUGCAAGUCGAGGGGCAUCAGGGAGAAAGCUUGCUUCUUGCUGGCGACCGGCGCACGGGUGAGUAACGCGUAUCCAACCUUCCCCCCAGUAGGGCAUAGCCCGGCGAAAGUCGGAUUAAUACCCUAUGUUUUCCAAUGAGGACAUCUGAGCUGGAACAAAGAUUUAUCGCUGGGGGAUGGGGAUGCGUCCGAUUAGGUUGUUGGCGGGGUAACGGCCCACCAAGCCCGCGAUCGGUAGGGGUUCUGAGAGGAAGGUCCCCCACACUGGUACUGAGACACGGACCAGACUCCUACGGGAGGCAGCAGUGAGGAAUAUUGGUCAAUGGGCGCGAGCCUGAACCAGCCAAGUAAGCGUGCAGGACGACGGCCCUAUGGGUUGUAAACUGCUUUUAUGCGGGGAUAAAGUGGCGUACGUGUACGUUUUUGUAGGUACCGCAUGAAUAAGGACCGGCUAAUUCCGUGCCAGCCGCCGC
This 520-nucleotide ribosomal RNA is filed under the name uncultured bacterium. Its description in RNAcentral is "bacterial SSU rRNA". It matches the Rfam family "Bacterial small subunit ribosomal RNA", at positions 8 to 518 of the family's 1533-position model. The record is from RNAcentral.